GAUGAACGCUAGCGGCAGGCCUAACACAUGCAAGUCGAGGGGUAACAGGAAAGCUUGCUUUUGCUGACGACCGGCGCACGGGUGCGUAACGCGUAUGCAACCUACCUCAUACAGGAGGAUAGCCCUUGGAAACGAGGAUUAAUACUCCAUAGUAUCACGAAUUCGCAUGUUUUUGUGAUUAAAGUUUUUCGGUAUGAGAUGGGCAUGCGUCCCAUUAGCUUGUUGGUGAGGUAACGGCUCACCAAGGCGACGAUGGGUAGGGGGCCUGAGAGGGUGGUCCCCCACACUGGUACUGAGACACGGACCAGACUCCUACGGGAGGCAGCAGUGAGGAAUAUUGGUCAAUGGAGGCAACUCUGAACCAGCCAUGCCGCGUGAAGGAUGACGGCCCUAUGGGUUGUAAACUUCUUUUAUAUGGGAAGAAACUUGUCUACGUGUAGACAACUGACGGUACCAUACGAAUAAGGAUCGGCUAACUCCGUGCCAGCAGCCGCCGGGUAACAC
Molecule: ribosomal RNA, 504 nt
Filed under: uncultured bacterium
Lineage: Bacteria
Description: bacterial SSU rRNA
Rfam family: Bacterial small subunit ribosomal RNA
Source: RNAcentral